UACGUAGGUGGCAAGCGUUGUCCGGAUUUACUGGGUGUAAAGGGCGUGCAGCCGGAGAGACAAGUCAGAUGUGAAAUCCACGGGCUCAACCCGUGAACUGCAUUUGGAACUGUUUCCCUUGAGUGUCGGAGAGGUAAUCGGAAUUCCUUGUGUAGCGGUGAAAUGCGUAGAUAUAAGGAAGAACACCAGUGGCGAAGGCGGAUUACUGGACGAUAACUGACGGUGAGGCGCGAAAGCGUGGGGAGCAAACAGG
RNAcentral lists this ribosomal RNA (253 nucleotides) under uncultured bacterium. RNAcentral's name for it is "partial 16S ribosomal RNA". It matches the Rfam family "Bacterial small subunit ribosomal RNA", at positions 524 to 776 of the family's 1533-position model. The record is from RNAcentral.